AUAAAAAACCACCAAAAAAAUUUCAUUUCCCUCUCUAUCUUCUUCUUCUUCUUCCUCUCUGUCUCACACAGAAACUCACACUCUCUCUCCCUUCACUUUCAGACCCAUACUCGGAAACCCCCAAACCCCAAACACAGAAACCCCAAUGGAGAGACCCAUACUCGGAAACCCCCAAACCCCAAACACAGAAACCCCAAUGGAAAGACCCAUACUCGGAAACCCCCAAACCCCAAACGCAGAAACCCCAACGGAGAGACCCAAACCCAACCCCAAACCCAAACCCAAACCUCAGUUAUAUAAGGAGUUGUUCUCUCUCCCUACGCCUCUCCUCUCCUCUGCAAUAUCCCUCUCCCUAUGUCGAGCCAGCCUCCUCUGUAAUCUCUCUCCCUACGCAUCUCCUCUCCUCUGCAAUCCAACUCAAACCAGGCGAACCAGAUGCGAACCACGAGCUGAUCUCCUAAAGCCGAGCCGAGCCCAGAUGCCUCUUCCCUCCCUAAAGUCGAGCCUAGAUGCCUCUUCUUCCCUAAAGCUGAGCCAAGAUGAUCUCCUAGCUUGAACCCAAACCGGCGUUCAACUCAACUCAAUUCUUGAACCCAACGUCGAGCCCGUUCACAUCUGGAUUCUUGCUAAUAGACAAUCUGUUGUGCGGUCUAAAGAGUCGAAGAUUCGCUAUACCAAUGAGCUAGAGAGGAAGGUCCAGACCCUUCAAACUGAAGCCACCACCCAUUCUGCGUAGGUUGCAUUGCUCCAGAGGGAUACUACUGGGUUAACUGCUGAGAAUAAGGAGCUCAAAAUGCAGUUACAGGCUAUGGAGCAACAAGCACAACUCAGAGAGGGAAUGAAUCCAUGUUGCUAUUUUCUGAGAGAAAUUAUGGACUAUUCAAGGCUGGACUAACGUUUGAGAGAAAUUAUGGACUAUUCAAGGCUGAUGGCACCAUUUCAUAUGACAUUGGGUUUCAUGGACUUGAUUCUUGAUCUGCAGAUUCAUUAUGUUUAUCCCCGAAGGAUGAAGGCCUUCACGAUUCAAGUAAAAUUGCUGCUUUCGAUUUUGAUGGAUGUCUUGCAAACACUUCUGUUAGAAGGGUAGGUCCGGAUGCUUGGUCUCUGAUGUAUCCUUCAAUACCUGCUAAGCUACAGAGCCUGUACAAUGAUGGCUAUAAACUGGUUAUCUUUACCAAUGAAUCAAACAUUGAGCACUGGAAAAAUAAGAGACAAGUUGCUGUGGACUCAAAAAUUGGUCGCCUAAACAAAUUAAUGAGACAAUGAAAGUCCCAAUUCAGGUUUCAUUGCUUGUGGAGUAAGUAAUUCUAAUGGUCAAGCAGACGAUCCCUACCGCAAACCAAAACCAGGGAUGUGCUUCAUAUGGUGGAUUGUUGUAUUCUGUGGUGUUUCAGGAACUAAAGAGAAAGAGCAUAGCAGCUGCUGCACUCAUGUCACUUCAACAUAAACUUUAGAAAUACAAGAUAGAGUUGAACGACUCGUAUAAGAAUACUCGAGUAUACUUAUAACUUGUUCAUGUUGCACAGAACUGAUUACUUAUAAAUUGAGAUUAUAUUUGUAUCUGAUGAAACAUAUUUUUAUUAAGUUUUCUAUGUAAUUUGUCUUUGUAAUAUGUAAAUUUGGUUUAUUUUUUGAUUGUUGACUGUUGUUGGUGUAAUAAAUUUAUAAAAUUGUUGAAUAAAAAAGUU
Molecule: long non-coding RNA, 1688 nt
Organism: Humulus lupulus (European hop)
Lineage: Eukaryota; Viridiplantae; Streptophyta; Magnoliopsida; Rosales; Cannabaceae
Exons: 9
Source: RefSeq, a predicted model, not a curated record